RNAcentral lists this long non-coding RNA (234 nucleotides) under Mytilus galloprovincialis (Mediterranean mussel). Lineage: Eukaryota; Metazoa; Mollusca; Bivalvia; Mytilida; Mytilidae. The record is from RNAcentral.
UCUUAGAAAAGAAACUUCCACUUGAUAUGUGUUUGGAAGAUGUGUCCCUCAAGAAGUUGACAGGACAAAGUUCAACUUACCGUAGAUCUCGAUAUCCUUCACGCAAUGGUGUUGACGGCGAUCUCCAUUCAAUGAUUAUUACGAAUUCUGAAACGAAUCCAUAUUGGUGGGUAGACCUCGGAGGUGCCUUUUCAGUGCAUCAUGUUGAGAUUUGGAAUAGACACGCCGCCGGUA